Molecule: ribosomal RNA, 397 nt
Filed under: uncultured bacterium
Lineage: Bacteria
Description: partial 16S ribosomal RNA
Rfam family: Bacterial small subunit ribosomal RNA
Source: RNAcentral
AUACGUAGGUGACAAGCGUUAUCCGGAUUUACUGGGCGUAAAGGGCGUGUAGGCGGUCUUGCAAGUCAGAAGUGAAAUUCCUGAGCUCAACUCGGGCGCUGCUUCUGAAACUGCAGGACUUGAGUGCUGGAGGGGAUAGCGGAAUUCCUAGUGGAGCGGUAAAAUGCGCAGAUAUUAGGAAGAACACCGGUGGCGAAGGCGGCUAUCUGACCAGUAACUGACGAUGAGGAGCGAAAGCGUGGGGAGCAAACAGGAUUAGAUACCCUGGUGGUCCACGCCGUAAACGAUGAAUACUAGGUGUAGGGGGUAUCGACUCCCUCUGUGCCGCAGUUAACACAAUAAAUAUUCCGCCUGGGGAGUACGGCCGCAAGGUUGAAACUCAAAUGAAUUGACGGGG